Molecule: small RNA, 28 nt
Filed under: Bombyx mori (domestic silkworm)
Lineage: Eukaryota; Metazoa; Arthropoda; Insecta; Lepidoptera; Bombycidae
Description: ovarian small RNA-37215
Source: RNAcentral
UUCCGGAGGUGGAACCGUCUGUCCCUUG